GUCAUAAUAGUUUAAUUAUUGAAGAACGUCCGCCUUGUAAUCGGGAAGUUAUAUAGUGGCU
This 61-nucleotide transfer RNA is filed under the name Acrobeloides varius. Its description in RNAcentral is "tRNA-Thr". The record is from RNAcentral. Lineage: Eukaryota; Metazoa; Nematoda; Chromadorea; Rhabditida; Cephalobidae.